RNAcentral lists this unclassified non-coding RNA (516 nucleotides) under uncultured Glomus. Its description in RNAcentral is "SSU rRNA". It matches the Rfam family "Eukaryotic small subunit ribosomal RNA", at positions 569 to 1089 of the family's 1831-position model. The record is from RNAcentral. Lineage: Eukaryota; Fungi; Glomeromycota; Glomeromycetes; Glomerales; Glomeraceae.
AGCAGCCGCGGUAAUUCCAGCUCCAAUAGCGUAUAUUAAAGUUGUUGCAGUUAAAAGCUCGUAGUUGAAUUUCGGGGUUAGUAGGUUGGUCAUGCCUCUGGUAUGUACUGGUCUCACUGAUUCCUCCUUCCUGAUGAACCUUAAUGCCAUUAAUUUGGUGUUUUGGGGAAUUUGGACUGUUACUUUGAAAAAUUAGAGUGUUUAAAGCAAGCUAACGCUUGAAUACAUUAGCAUGGAAUAAUGAAAUAGGACGUUCGAUCCUAUUUUGUUGGUUUCUAGGAUUGACGUAAUGAUUAAUAGGGAUAGUUGGGGGCAUUAGUAUUCAAUUGUCAGAGGUGAAAUUCUUGGAUUUAUUGAAGACUAACUACUGCGAAAGCAUUUGCCAAGGAUGUUUUCAUUAAUCAAGAACGAAAGUUAGGGAUCGAAGACGAUCAGAUACCGUCAUAGUCUUAACCAUAAACUAUGCCGACUAGGGAUCGGAUGAUGUUAAUUUUUUAAUGACUCAUUCGGCGUCCG